UUAAUUCUAAUAAUAUAUUUAAUCCAACAUAUCCAAAAGACUAUCAUUUCAACAUGUAGUCCAUGUAAAAAGUAUUUACAUUUUUCAUUCUUUUUUUUUUAAAUGUCUUUGAAAUCUGGGGUGUUUUUUACACUUGCAGCACAUCUCGAUUCAAAAUAGCCACUUUCAAGUGCUUAGUAACCGCAUGUAGCUAGUAACUACCUACUGAACAAUGCUGUUCUGCGUAAGUUGGCUGCUUUCCAAACUGAUCACUUUUUUUUUUUUAUUCAGAUAAUGACUGAUACUGAGUACUCAGGCUAGCCAGAGUGGUGCAAAGAUGAGUCAAAUUCAUUCUGAUGAGAGAUUUGUAAGUCACUAGCAAUUAUACAGCGUGGUAGGUGCCAUGAUAGAGAUGCAUAGAAGAAACCCAGACUUGGCGGCUGAAGGGCACAGGGUGGAAGGCAGUAGAGAGACAAGGAAGGUUGCACAGAAAUAACAUUUGAUGUAGGAACUAAGUGCACGAAGGGAAGCCGGCUGUGCGGUGACCGGAGUUGCAGGUUACCAAUCUUGCUGAGGGGGGCUCCACCGGACGCCGGCCUACGGGUCGUAGGCGUGUGUGGGGUGAAGGGGGAAGAGGACGGGAGAGGAUUGGCUGGGAGGAACCCGGAGCUCCAUCUGGUGGGUGGAUGGAAACCGCAGGGGGGCGCUACUUGCACUUCGCGCUCAAGCGACCGGAUCUUCAAACCGUGGGAGUGGUGCGGCGGCUAGAGUCCCUGGACUCCUCAACCUAGGGAGCUACUCGCGAGAUGCCUACGACUUGUAACGGGCUGCCUGGUAAAAUGAAUCUAUGGAAACGGUUGUCAGGGCCGGCUAACAGCGGCUCCCGGAAGCCCUUUGAUGCUUUGUUAACAGUGAAGCUACUGGACCAAUGAGGUGCUUCUUCCGGUUUUGUCCGCGCUCGCCUAAUUCUUCUUUAUCAAGGUUGCCUUUGACCCCGGAAAAGAGAUCUUCCGGGUUCCUCUCUCCCCAAGAUGGCUGCUGAGGACGAGUUACAGCUGCCGCGGCUCCCCGAGCUGUUCGAAACUGGUAAACAGUUACUGGACGAAGUAGAAGUAGCGACUGAACCCGCCGGUUCCCCGAUAGUCCAGGAGAAGGUGUUCAAGGGCUUGGACCUCCUUGAGAAGGCUGCCGAAAUGUUAUCGCAGCUCGACUUGUUCAGCCGAAAUGAAGAUUUGGAAGAGAUUGCUUCCACCGACCUGAAGUACCUUUUGGUGCCAGCGUUUCAAGGAGCCCUCACCAUGAAACAAGUCAACCCCAGCAAGCGUCUAGAUCAUUUGCAGCGGGCUCGAGAACACUUUAUAAACUACUUAACUCAGUGCCAUUGCUAUCAUGUGGCAGAGUUUGAGCUGCCCAAAACCGUGAACAACUCUGCUGAAAAUCACACUGCCAAUUCCUCCAUGGCUUAUCCUAGCCUCGUUGCUAUGGCAUCUCAAAGACAGGCUAAAAUACAGAGAUACAAGCAGAAGAAGGAGUUGGAGCAUAGGUUGUCUGCAAUGAAAUCUGCUGUGGAAAGUGGUCAAGCAGAUGAUGAGCGUGUUCGUGAAUACUAUCUUCUUCACCUUCAGAGGUGGAUUGAUAUCAGCUUAGAAGAGAUUGAGAGCAUUGACCAGGAAAUAAAGAUCCUGAGAGAAAGAGACUCUUCAAGAGAGGCAUCAACUUCUAACUCAUCUCGCCAGGAGAGGCCUCCAGUGAAACCCUUCAUUCUCACUCGGAACACGGCCCAAGCCAAAGUAUUUGGAGCUGGUUAUCCAAGUCUGGCAACUAUGACGGUGAGUGACUGGUAUGAGCAACAUCGGAAAUAUGGAGCAUUACCGGAUCAGGGAAUAGCCAAGGCAGCACCAGGUCAUCAGAAUGAAGGAAAGUCUGAGAAAGAGUUACAUCCUAGAGGAGACUAAAGAAACAGACAACAAAAUGUACUGUGGUGACCUGGAUAGGAUCCUGGAACGGAAAAGGGACAUUAGAGAAAUUCAGAAAAGCAGCUCAGCAACAGGAAGAACAAGAAGAAAAGGAGGAAGAG
Gorilla gorilla gorilla (western lowland gorilla) is the source of this 2056-nucleotide RNA transcript. It is a transcript of the gene named immunoglobulin binding protein 1, with no coding region annotated. The transcript has 8 exons. The record is from RefSeq and is a predicted model, not a curated record. NCBI's taxonomy places the organism in Eukaryota, Metazoa, Chordata, Mammalia, Primates, Hominidae.